Long non-coding RNA from Gallus gallus (chicken), 5077 nucleotides. RefSeq lists it as uncharacterized. Lineage: Eukaryota; Metazoa; Chordata; Aves; Galliformes; Phasianidae. The transcript is spliced from 3 exons. The record is from RefSeq and is a predicted model, not a curated record.
GGUGCGGUGCGGUGCAGGGCGAGCGGCCGCAGCGCCCUCCCCCCCCGGAGCGGCACAGCGCACUGCGCGCCCCCCGCACGGCACGGUCCGGCGCGGCACGGAGGGAGGUUAUCGGGCGCGGGGGGAGGACUGAGGCUGGCAAGGUGAGAGCUCGGAUUGCCGGAGUGCCGGGAGGAAGCUGCCAUUUGUGAGCUGUGAGUGACGAGCGUGUAAUUUCAGCACCACUAAUGGACACUUAUUUUUCAUCAACUGGAGGAAAGAUGGGAAGGCGGAAGGAAACAAAUGAUCAUUACGGGUUAACCAACACAGAAGACAGAAGGAGUAUCAGCAGGGAUGACAUGGAACUAAUGCCACACAGAGAAGCAACCAGUGUGCCCAAAACAUCUUGGCAAAACUGAUGUAUUCCCAGGCUGUGGGGAGAUUACAGUACAAGUUCCUAUGAGAAUAUAUUGCAGACUGUGUGCUAGGAAAGCACCUCCAUUGGGGAAAAUUUGCCUGUGGAACGAGAAAUACAUAAGCAGAAACUGGGAACUGAAGAAAUGUUGUUAAGAUUGCCAGUCAGAAACAAUGUUCAACAUGGAGAGAGCAGGAAGAAGCUUAUACAGAAAAAGAGAGGCAAGUUUUAAAUGUUUUCAAUUAUUUGCCUCAGUCCAUAUUCACAAUUCAUUACACUCCUGCAAAGCUGCUUUUCAGGUUCUUUAGGUAGCUGGAGAAAUUUAUGCUCUGGCUCUUGAACUGUAUUAACACUGACACUGGGCUAUACCUGGUUGAAAUAGUGGCUGUGAUCCAGAAGCAAAAAGUUUUCCAUACAGAAUGCUUGUAGAGUCUUAGGCAAGAGGAGAGAAAACAACAGUAUACAUCAAUACCAGCCUGGGUAAGUUGACGCUUAUAUGGGAUUCUCCAGUUAUUGUCCAAUUAGUGCUGAAUAUGCGAUAGACACACGGCAUCUAGAACUGUCCAUACACAUAGCUGAACAUCCUAUGCACUUGGGUACAGAACUAUACUCUGGUCCAAAACUUAUAGUUCUCUACAUUGUAUAGAAAAGUCAAGAAUAAGUGCAUUAAAGAAUCCAAAUUAGAAAAAUGUUGCUGUAUCUAUUUUCCUGUGCUCUAGUUUCUGAAUUUGUAAAAUAUUUAAUAGUCAGUGUUUUUAUGUCAUGUCCUUAUUUACUGUAUCUGAGUUACAGUUCUUGAGAUUAAGGGUACUAUAGAAAACAUUUAUUUAUGCAGGUUCCCAAAUCAGGCCCUGAGACACAUAGACUGCAUUUUUUUCUUUUUUUCUUUUUUUUCUUUUCUUUUUUUUUUUUUUUUCUCCAGAGAGUGUUAAAACAGUACGUAACAAAAAGGAAAGUUGAAAUUUUGGAGCAUCCUUGAACCAUUCUUCUGUCUUACAUAGCCUUUGGAGCAAAACACGUUUCCUCAGAUUUGUUAGGUUUCUUUCCUGUAGAACCUAUAUGCCAUUACAGAUGGAGUAACAGGUUCUUUAAUCUCUUCAUAACAAAUACGCUGCUCUUUUUAGAAAGUUAAAAUUGUAAUAGUUUGAUCUUUUUAGAGGCAGACUGAAAUUACUAGGCUAACAAAUAUUUCAGUAGCAAAUAUCUAAGUUUAAAUUACUGAGAUUUUUACAUCUGGAAGUUACAAGAUCAAUCAUGAUAGUUGAACAUGAGAAUUUUUGUGAUAUGUUUCAAAUUCUACUGCACUAUCAAACACUAUCACUGAACAGAAACAACUCAUACAAUAUAAAGUACUGAUUGAAAAAUAGUGUUUCAAUUAUUUUUGUUAUACAAAAUGUAAAUAAUCGCUUUUACAUUAUUAAGUUUUCAACUUCCUUAAAUGUCUUUCACAGUUACUGUUAGAGCUGUGAGAAGUCAUUCUAAUUGAUACAAACAUUCAUCCUAUUUUACGUAAGAGAUUCUUAAUUUAAAUCAGCUUUUAAUUAUAAUUAGUGUUGAACUAAUACAAGUUACUAAAAAUCUGAGGUUCAGUGUCUUUUUUUUUGUUGAAGUUUGUAACAUCAUUGGUAAAUAUUCAAUUGUUUUUUCUUGUGCUAUUUACUAUUUUUUUUCUUUUUUUCCUUACCAAUCUCAAUCUUAUUGAUGAUUAUCUGUAGUUUUAAAAAUAUCAACAGAAGAUUGUGUCGCCAUUGACCAUGCAUAUAAUCUCUGUUCACAGGAAUUUAUUCCCAGAUGAUUUUGUGAGGGAAUCCAUAUGACUGUAUAGAUGAUUCCAUAUGAUUGUUUGCCAUACAUUGCUGUUAAAUGUUGAACUACAAAAUCCAGUCAGUUGUCUGAAUGAUUAGCAUUUUUUUUUCUAUAAUGAUGAAACAUGCACCACUACAUCAUUUGAAUUAACUUAUUGUUUUCCUAGCCUUUGUACUGUAUCAGCUCUUAGCAUUUACUCUUUUUUUCUGCUCUCACUCUUGCACUUGAUUUGUCUUAGUCUUGUCAUUGCUUAUCAAAAAAAAUUUUGCACAAGCAUUUUUAAUAAUGGCAGUGUUUGUGUCUGCAUUUAAAUGUCUAUUUAUUGUGUCUGCCAUCAUUGCAGCUGGAAGAUAAUCUCCAUUAAACAUCCCAUUUAAUAUUUUUCAAACUUUCUGAUACACGGUGGAGUGUAUUUAUUCAUGAAUAAUGCUUACUAAAUGAACAUAUCAGUAUAAGUCAUGCUGGGUACCAAAUCCUGCAUAUUAACUUACACAAUCAAGCUUAUAUUGCAAAUGAAGUAACUUUCCAAAAACACUUGGCAUUACUGGCAAGUCACCACAUACUCUAGAUGUUCUCAUAUGAAUUUUUCCAUAAAACAUUAAGUUGAAACUGACCUUGAAAAUGACUGUAUACUGAGAGAUCAAUUACUGUGAAUUUUAUAUUUCUUGGUAAUUAUGUGUUGCAUGGUAUAGGUUUUCUCUGCUGCCAUACAAAUACAGAGUAUGCACUUUCAAAUUAUAGUCCUCAUAAAUAACCCAGUGUCUGAAUUUACUGUAGUGAAAAAACUAGUCAUCUGAGCUAUGUAUGAUAAAGAAAAUAGUAAACAAGGAUGAUUAUUUUCAUUUACCUUUACAUCUGUAUUAGCAGACACCUAUAACAGAGCUAUUGGUGUAGACUUCUUUCAUUGUUAGUAGAGAAAAACCGAAGUCUAUAGCUGACCACAUCAAUUCCAUUGUCUACUGCCUAUUGAUCUCCACUGAAUAUAAAGAAAUAUUGAAAGUAUCGAGUUAAUAUACAGAUGUCUUAUAGAACUCCAGAGUUAGGUGAGAUGUCUCCUGACCACUUACUUAAGUGCUGUUGGUAUAAAUAUAUUAUGUUUCUAAAUUUUUUAUUGCUAUAUAUAUGUUUUAGCUAUUGCAAUGCAUUUGUCCUGUGCAAAUUGUUUAUCUGUUAUACUGUGUACUUUAUAAGGCUACAUGGCAGAACCUUCAUAUGUUUCCACCACACUGAUCAUUUUUUUUACCUCAGUGAUAUUAGUUCUUAAAAUAUAUUCAACUUUUCAUAGUUUACAUUAUUUUAGCUAGAACACAAGCUAUAAAAUUAAUAUUAUUUUCAAAAUAAAAUAUUCUUGGCAAUUCUGUGAAUACUAAAGAAUAUUAAUUUCAUGUACAUGUAAAUACAACUUCCUGAAAUCCAGAUGCAAUGAUGAUGCAAGCAAAUAGAUAUUUAAGAAAUGUGUAUUAAUAUAGAAUGAGUAGGAAUAUUUCAGAUAUAAUUUCUUUCCAAUAAAAAUUUCAUUAUUAUGAGGUGUUUAUUAAUUAUCAUCUACAAAAAAGAAAAUUCACCUUGAAAGCAUCAAAACAAAAUGAAAAACACAAUUUUUCUGAGGUUGUCUGGCACAUCAAUAGUGUAUUUAGUUUUUCAGCUGCUUGCUGUUAUCACUUCCUUUUUAAGACUUUUUUUUUCUUUUUUUAGAAUCACUUAUUUUUGUUGUUUUGUAGAUUCUUUUUCCUUGUUUCCAAACUUCUCAAAGUUUCACUGAGGUGUGCAAUCAGAGUGAACAAAAAGAUUCACUCAGUUCUGGCUCAGCUGGGACAGUAUCUGCAGCUGGCAUCAAAAAUGUUGAGUAAAACUUGAAAAAAGAUGUUACUUUGUAAAUAAUGAGUAAGCUCUCCAGUGGAACUAAAAUCUUUAAAACAAGGUGGAAAUUUUUACCAACCCUGUUCAAUUGCAAUGGACUUUUCAGUAACUUUAUAUUUGUGCCAAUAUCUCAAGCCAUUAAUCUUGACAACUGCUGAUAUUUAAAAGAAAAGCCUUCAAUUGGAAAUUAAUAUCAAAUUGUGUUAAAGAUGAAAGUGGCAAUAUCUGCACAAAAUUAACAGAAUUCUAACUAAAAAAUGUUUUCUCAAAAACACUUUAAAAAAAUCAAAACCAAAACAAGCAAACAACAACAACAACAAAAGACUUCCAGAUUUCCCUGUAGGAAAAAAAAAAUAGAUAUAUGUGUGACAUCUUUGAAUUUUACGGAGUAUUUAAUUAGAGAAACCUUUAUGUUACCAAGGAAUAUUUUUGUUUGUUUUGUUUUGUUUUUUAUAUAUUUGCAGAAGAAAAUAAAGAUAUGAUUUCAUAAGCACGUAUUUCAAUGUUGUUUGCUAGCUAUUAAUGAAAUACAAUCAGGUAAUCUGGUAAAUGAGUGCUCAAAGCAGAUGAAAUUAAACAUCAAAAACACAUACUGAUGAGGGAGAAGGAUUUUUACCUUUCCAUGUUGUAGUGCUUUAUAUCACCAAGCUACCUUGUCUUCCCGUCCAGAGUAAGGUAAAGAACCAGGUAAACACGUCAAUAGAAAGCAGAAAUUUCAAUUAUACUUAUAAAAAAAUCAGCGUUUUCUAUUAUUUUGGUCUCAAUAAAUCUGUUUUCUUGUUACAAUUUCAAAAUGACUGAUCAGAGAAAAAUUUAGCAAAAGUAUUAGGCCAUAUCUAAUCUCAAGUUAAUUUAACGAUCAACAAUGCAGUAAUUUUAUGGUAGAUUUAUGUUGGUACCAAAGGCAAUAUGGCCUCCAAAUGUAUGAUUGUAUAUAUGAAUCUAUAUUUACACGUACUUCAAAAUUGUGAUGAAAGUAUUGUGACUUGUUUAAUUAAAAGUUUAUUUCUAUUUUGA